Molecule: long non-coding RNA, 1167 nt
Filed under: Felis catus (domestic cat)
Lineage: Eukaryota; Metazoa; Chordata; Mammalia; Carnivora; Felidae
Description: lncRNA (ENSFCAG00000050542.1)
Source: RNAcentral
AGGAGAAGUCAGUAUGUAGCUGGGGCUGAGAAUCACCACCCAAGUCCCAGAGUAGCUCCUCUGUCUUUGUGUGGUCUUCAGUGGACAUUCCCAGCAGGAAGUGACUGCAGUUCCCAGCCGCAGUGCCCGGUGGGACGUUGAAGUGGCUGAGAGGACACGGAGGAAGCACUGAUGUGUCCAGUCGCAUGUGACUGCACAGUCCUGGGAAGGUGUUUAUUUGAAUGGGGAGAAGCGAUAGCUGUGCCCUCCAAGAUGGUGCCCAGCAGAAGUGGUGCGGUUGAGCUUCACAGCUCACUGGACACAAUUCUUGGGCUCACAUCACAGUGAAAUACCCCGAGUUCUCCAACUGAUAUACCUAUAAAUGUCAACGGACAGACACUGCUAAAUGUUUUUCAAAGCAGUAGGAAUUCUGAAUCUAGAUAUGUAUGACAACUACCAAACUCAAAAUAUAUGUCUGCAUACUGCAAUUAACAGCUUAUUUGGAUCUGGAUAAUGUGCAAGAAUGGAGAGACAUCAUUUUCAGGAAAGGACUAACACCAAAAUCUGGUCUGUAAACACAGUUGCCGAAUGGAAUUUGAAAAGGGGCUCCAUUCGCCAAGAUUCUGUGAAAAGCGAUACAAUAAGAGGAACAAAGAGAGAGAGGGAGAAAAAAGAAACAUUUUUCCAUCUCUUAAAUGAUGUGAAGAAUUCCUAUUUUAGAAAAAAAAAAAAAAAGAAAAAAGACCCUCAGUUUGUAAGUGCUUGGCUAAACAUGUAAAUCAUAAGCAUUUUACGCUUUGUUUUUUAUACUCCUUAAUUGCUAAGCUGUAAACUAAGACUUUUCAAUAAUAGUCUCUUCAUUAUUUAUCCUAUCUUAUAACCUUGAAACAGGUUGUCCCAAAGCAUUUUUCAUUGAGCUAAUAUGUGUGGAAUCUUUGGGGCGCCUGGGUGGCUCAGUCGGUUAAGCCUCUGCUUUCGGCUCAGGAUGUGAUCUCACAGUUUGUGAGUUUGAGCCCUGUGUUGGGCUCAGUGCUGACAGCGCAGAGCCUGGAGUCUGCUUCGAGUUCUGUGUCUCCCUCUGUCUCUGUGCCUCCCCUGCUCACACUCUGUCUCUCCUCUCUCUCUCUCUCUCUCUCUCUCUCUCUCUCUAAGAAUAAACAUUAAAAAAAAUAUAUAUAUAUGUGUGUG